AGUCUAAAUUAUAUGUAUGCUGUCAUUUUCCCCAGUAGAAGAAGACAUGGGAGAAGUACUCAGGACCAGAUAGGACAGCAGAAAGCAAGGCAGAACCUGAGCUCCCAGAGGUCUGAGUGGAGUCUAAACAUGGUCUAAUGGACCGACUGUUUUUGCUGACCUUCGUCUUCUGUUCAGUCUCGUGGAUUUUCUUCUGGGAGGUGCGCUGGAAGAAAGGCAAGGAAAGUCAGAUUGAAGAAUGGCUCCAGAGACACAGCCUAUCUGAAUACAAGUAUUUGUUUGAAGAUGUACAGACUCUGGAGGAGCUGAGUUUAUGUGUGCUGUCUCGGCUGAAGGAAGUGGUGAAGGAAAAGCAUCACUGGAGGGAGAUUACUGAGGCCCAAGUGCAGCUGCUCAGAGACUUUGCCUUCCAGGAGUGGCUUUGUUCCCAGAGCCUGGAGCACUACUAUCACACCCUGAAGACCCUGGGCUGCACUACCCUGGAUGAUCUAGCACAGUUUGACAGCCAGCUUCAGCUUUCUCUAGCAGCGUGGGGCUAUUACUACGAGGAUUACAUCAAACUGUCCACGGGUGUGAGGGUCCUCCAGGCAUCUAAGGGAAGUAGAGAUCAAGACUACGAGAUUCAGCUGGUGCACAGCCUUGCUGAGAGGCGGCUGAAUGAGAAGUGGUCUUUUGCAGGAGCUCUGAUAUUUGGCUGUACCAUUGCCCUGUGCUUUCUGAUAAGGGACCUCAUGUUUUACGUGAUUGGUAAGUCAAUCACUUGAUACCAUUAUUUUUAAAGCUUAAUUAUAUAGUUCUAAAAUGUGAUAAAACAAAUAUUUGGGUCAUUCCACAAAAUCUGUG
This 843-nucleotide long non-coding RNA is filed under the name Sinocyclocheilus grahami. RNAcentral's name for it is "lncRNA (ENSSGRG00000040085.1)". Lineage: Eukaryota; Metazoa; Chordata; Actinopteri; Cypriniformes; Cyprinidae. The record is from RNAcentral.